RNAcentral lists this long non-coding RNA (1452 nucleotides) under Nicotiana tabacum (common tobacco). RNAcentral describes it as "long non-coding RNA (NTAB_LNC009249)". The record is from RNAcentral. Lineage: Eukaryota; Viridiplantae; Streptophyta; Magnoliopsida; Solanales; Solanaceae.
AAUAUUUCUCCUUAUUGUGCAUCUAUCCAUGUCAGUUGAACCAUAAAUAGAACCCUUCACGAUUUUGAUUCAUUCUUCACCAUUUCUAUUCGGUUUUUGGAGCUUUUGGGAGAGAUUUGAAGAGGGAAUCAAGGGGGUUUCGUUGAGGUAAGUUACUUAAGCCCUAAUACUUGUAUAUAUGGUGGUUUUCCGUUGUUUAAUCUUGGUAAUUAGUGAAAAUGAGGGGUUAGGGCUUGAAAUUUUUAGAGAGUAAUUUAAUGAUUUGAAGGACCAAACGAUGUAAGAUUUUGAUGAAUUUGGUAUGGUUAGACUCGGGAGAGGACAAGGAUUAUUAUUCUGCCAUUUUUGACUGAUUUCGAGACAUGGGUCCGGAGGUCGGGUUUUGGUCGGUUUCAGAUUUUUGGCAUAAUUUGAUAGUUUUUCUUGUGGAAUUCAUUCCAUUAGCGUAUAUUAAAGGUAUUGUACUGAUUGUGAAUAGAUUCAGAGCAUUUGGAGACCGAGUCCAGAGAUGAGGGCAUCCCGGAGUAGGAUGUUUUUACGCUGUUAAGGUAAGUAACAGUUUUAACUCUGGCUUUGAAGGUAUAAACCCGGAGAUUUGACAUCAUGUGAUUGUUUGGAAGUGAUACCCACGCUAGGUGACGAGCGUGUGGGCGUGCACCGCGAGGGAUUGAGACUUGGUCCGUCCCGUGAGGCUGUGAGGCCUAAUGGCUAUUAUCUGUGGUUAUGUGUUUAAUUGUUGUUGAACUUAUUUGCCUUCAUGAUAGAGAUCAUGCUUAGGCUUUAUUCAUGCUCACAUUAUUUGUACUCAGUCAUAGAAAUUAUUGUACUUGUUUACCUCAGUCUUUAUUAUUUGCUAAUAUGCGGUGAUACUUGAUGUGAGUUGUGUUCCCUUAUUUGUUGGUGAUGAUGAGGCUAGUGAGGUACAUGAUUGAGUGAGGCCGAGGGCCUGGUUAUGAGGAUAUUAAUNNNNNNNNNNNNNNNNNNNNNNGUUGAGUGCGAGUGCUGAGUGAUGGAUUGACACUGCUGUGAUGUGGUAUUUAAUUGUGUUGUUACUGCAUUUAUCUGUUAAACUUCUUUGUGGCAUUUACUAAGUUAUGGAAUUUACCUGUUGAUUUCUAUUUAUUUUUAAAAUUGUGAAAAUAAAUAAUUGGACUGUUUUACUUAGCUCGUCAUUAUUGCUCAGUUCCUUAGUUAUUUCUGUUACUUGCUGAGGUGGUUGUACUCAUGCUACACCCUGCACUUUAUGUGUAGAUUUAGGUAAGUUACAGCGCGGCGAUCGUUGAGUUCAGGCCGACUAUCUGUGUAGAUUGCAAGGUAGCUGCUAGCGUCUGCAGGACCUUGUCACUCCUUUUAUCAUUUCUUCUUUUGGAUUGUAUUGACAGUUAGACAGUUUCAUUUCUUAGUUCAUAGAUUUAGACGCCCAUGACUUAGUGACACCCCGAUGUUUGGGGC